GCAGUUCUAUCUGACUGACUUGCCAGGUCCUCCUGCAAUCUCGUCGACCAUAUCUCCACCAUCUAGAUGUUUCAAGACGAUAGUAAUAUCCGAGUAUCCCCAGCCCAGGGAUCACUCCCAACAGGCUGCUGUAACCUGAAAUCCCCUCGGCAUGACUAUUCGGAAAUUGUGCUCGAGCAUUCACAAUUUUUGAACAAUGUACCGCUGUGAUCAAAGUGGGGUUUCAACUGGUGGAAAAUGGAGCAAUAUAGAUAAGGGUUGUUUUGCCUGAAUUCCAGAUGAGAAGGACAGCAAGUCUUUUUCUGAUUAAGGACAACUGUGUUACACCCACAGAAUAUGAGUUCUUUGGUGUUGUUUCUUGGAUUUCUGUCGCUUGUGGUGGGACAGGCUAACUUGUUGUAUGAUCCUGCAAAAUAUCCUAAUCUUCCAAGCUAUGGACCACAGCCCAAUCCUCCAUAUAUGGUGGACAAUCAAUACAAUUACUUCAGAACUGCCCCA
RNAcentral lists this small RNA (498 nucleotides) under Histoplasma capsulatum. Its description in RNAcentral is "hypothetical RNA". RNAcentral also lists the same sequence under 1 other name. Lineage: Eukaryota; Fungi; Ascomycota; Eurotiomycetes; Onygenales; Ajellomycetaceae. The record is from RNAcentral.